UAUAUACUCUUUUCGUCCUAAAAAUUUUGUCUUAGAUUUGUUUAGAUAUGAAUCUAUCUAGUCAAAUUUUAGCAUUUAGAUAAAUUUAUUUCUAGACAAAGCUAAGGCAAGAAUUUUGGGACGGAGGGAGUAUAUA
This is a non-coding RNA of Hordeum vulgare subsp. vulgare (domesticated barley), 136 nucleotides long. NCBI's taxonomy places the organism in Eukaryota, Viridiplantae, Streptophyta, Magnoliopsida, Poales, Poaceae. The record is from Rfam.